RNAcentral lists this ribosomal RNA (806 nucleotides) under uncultured bacterium. Its description in RNAcentral is "bacterial SSU rRNA". It matches the Rfam family "Bacterial small subunit ribosomal RNA", at positions 8 to 796 of the family's 1533-position model. The record is from RNAcentral.
AGAGUUUGAUCAUGGCUCAGGAUGAACGCUGGCGGCGUGCCUAAUACAUGCAAGUCGAGCGAACGGACGAGAAGCUUGCUUCUCUGAUGUUAGCGGCGGACGGGUGAGUAACACGUGGAUAACCUACCUAUAAGACUGGGAUAACUUCGGGAAACCGGAGCCAAUACCGGAUAAUAUUUUAAACCGCAUGGUUCAAAAGUGAAAGACGGUCUUGCUGUCACUUAUAGAUGGAUCCGCGCUGCAUUAGCUAGUUGGUAAGGUAACGGCUUACCAAGGCAACGAUGCAUAGCCGACCUGAGAGGGUGAUCGGCCACACUGGAACUGAGACACGGUCCAGACUCCUACGGGAGGCAGCAGUAGGGAAUCUUCCGCAAUGGGCGAAAGCCUGACGGAGCAACGCCGCGUGAGUGAUGAAGGUCUUCGGAUCGUAAAACUCUGUUAUUAGGGAAGAACAUAUGUGUAAGUAACUGUGCACAUCUUGACGGUACCUAAUCAGAAAGCCACGGCUAACUACGUGCCAGCAGCCGCGGUAAUACGUAGGUGGCAAGCGUUAUCCGGAAUUAUUGGGCGUAAAGCGCGCGUAGGCGGUUUUUUAAGUCUGAUGUGAAAGCCCACGGCUCAACCGUGGAGGGUCAUUGGAAACUGGAAAACUUGAGUGCAGAAGAGGAAAGUGGAAUUCCAUGUGUAGCGGUGAAAUGCGCAGAGAUAUGGAGGAACACCAGUGGCGAAGGCGACUUUCUGGUCUGUAACUGACGCUGAUGUGCGAGAGCGUGGGGAUCAAACAGGAUUAGAUACCCUGGUAGUCC